RNAcentral lists this ribosomal RNA (528 nucleotides) under Penicillium citrinum. RNAcentral's name for it is "eukaryotic LSU rRNA". The stretch from base 145 to 298 matches the Rfam family "5.8S ribosomal RNA". The record is from RNAcentral. Lineage: Eukaryota; Fungi; Ascomycota; Eurotiomycetes; Eurotiales; Aspergillaceae.
GGGUCCUGCCGAGUGCGGACCUCGGGGCCACCUCCCACCCGUGUUGCCCGAACCUAUGUUGCCUCGGCGGGCCCCGCGCCCGCCGACGGCCCCCCUGAACGCUGUCUGAAGUUGCAGUCUGAGACCUAUAACGAAAUUAGUUAAAACUUUCAACAACGGAUCUCUUGGUUCCGGCAUCGAUGAAGAACGCAGCGAAAUGCGAUAACUAAUGUGAAUUGCAGAAUUCAGUGAAUCAUCGAGUCUUUGAACGCACAUUGCGCCCUCUGGUAUUCCGGAGGGCAUGCCUGUCCGAGCGUCAUUGCUGCCCUCAAGCCCGGCUUGUGUGUUGGGCCCCGUCCCCCCCGCCGGGGGGACGGGCCCGAAAGGCAGCGGCGGCACCGCGUCCGGUCCUCGAGCGUAUGGGGCUUCGUCACCCGCUCUAGUAGGCCCGGCCGGCGCCAGCCGACCCCCAACCUUUAAUUAUCUCAGGUUGACCUCGGAUCAGGUAGGGAUACCCGCUGAACUUAAGCAUAUCAAUAAGCGGAGGAA